ACAGAUAAGCAACUUGUCUGAUAUCAUUUGCUGCAAUGUCUGAUAUUCAAGGUUCCUGUCGUAUACAAAAGCCUUCCGUGACCGUUCCAUUUACACUUCUCCUAGGACUUGUGAGAGUCGGAGCUGGUCUGCUGGCAAUGAACUUCUCGGCUGCUCCAGUUGGUCACUGUGGCUCUUUUGCUCCUGUGGAUAGAUCCCCAGCCUGCAGAUGCUGAAAACCAGACUGGAUUUGUCGCUCAGAGCACACCUCCCUCCUCCCACGCACGUGGUCUCCACCGCACAUGUGCGGGUACAGAUGGGAACCGUCUCUGCAAACAAACUGAAGAUGAUUCAAGAGUCAUUCUAAUGAGCAGUGAAUGUGGCCUGAUUACUGCAUUCGCAAAAAACCUUAUUUUUUUUCCCCCCCCAACAUUGCAAAGCUUGGCCCAGGGCCUCCUCAUAGGCUUACAAAUUUGCUGAAGUCUUCUUAGAGUCUUUCCUGAAGUCUAAGUGUGAUGAGAGCAGAGGUACCUCCGUUUCAUCACUGCAUCCUGGGCACCUAGUGGACCUGGCAAGGUGCAGCCCUAUGAGAACUCGGAGGAGUGCUGUCUGCCUCUGCUUCAUUAAUUCCGGAGAGACCUUCUCUGCUAGAAUGUUCCAAGGCAUCCUGCCCAGGGACAACUGAGAAGGGCAAGAAGCAUGAUAAUAAGGGAACCCAAGACUUCUUUUUUAACUACCUAAGAAUGCUGCUGGUGGUUACAGAGAAAACAAUCCUGACAUGGGUUUUUAUUAAUCCUCUGCCCGUGCAUUUGGGACCAGGAUAGAGAGGCUAAAAUUCAAGCCAGACUGCGCUGGCUCCCUUCGGAAACGGCUGGAUCUAAUCUUCAGAAAUAACAGCGCGCCAGUUUCUUUGUUUAUUUUCCAGAGUAAAAUACUAAUCCAUGUAAAUGAAUCACUGAACUAGGUCUGUUAGACAACUUCUUAUUUUCUUAAUGACUCCCAUUUUCUGGAAACCCCAGGGCAUGUUUCUAAGGAUGUUAAUCAUCUAGAUGCUUCCCCGUGUAUUUGAUGGUGGAUCCGUACUAUUUGUAAUUCUCUUAAUGGUUCUUAUGCUCGCCUGCUUCUCGCUCUUUGAAACUUGAUUUCCUGUUUAUCUGACCGAUUCUUAGCAAUCUUUCAAGAUGCGCCACAAAACAAAUGUUUUGUUUUCGUUUUUUCUUUUUCUUUUCAUUUCUAAUUUCAAGAUUAUUUUUGAAAUGGGAACAUUUAUUUCCAACUCAUAGGCGUUGGCGAGGUUCCUACUCUUUGGUGAAAUAAGAAGUCUGAACUUAAUUUUUUAAAUUGAUGGAUAACACACAUGCAGUAAACUACAGAGCAAUUAUCUUAAGUAGAGCUUGAUAAUAUUUUAUAUACAUCUGUGUAACAACUGUACAGAUUAAGAUGAAGAGUGUUUCUAGGAUCCAUGAAGAUUCUUUUCUGUUCCUUCAUUAUCAAUACCCUACCCCUGACGUCAGCACUUCUGUCAUCACCAAUUACAUUUUCCUAUUCUUAAACUUCAUAUAAAUGCAGGAUGCAAUUUUGGCGGGGAUUGCCUUCUUUUGCUCAGAGAAGUGUUUUUUAGAUUCAUCCAUAUUACAUGGGCUUCAGUGGUUUUUUUUAAAUCGCUAUAUAGUAGUUCAUUAUUUGACUAUAGCACAAUUUAUGUGUGUAUUCUUCUGCUGAUAAUUGUUUGCUCCCAGCUUUAACAAUUGUAAAUAAAUCUGCUGCAAAUAAUCUUGUCCGUAUUUUUUGGUGGACAAAUGUGCUUAACUUCUCUUGAGGAUAAAACUGUAAGUGGAAUUGGUGAUUUGUAGGGUAGGUCUAUGUUUAGGUUCAGUAGAUACGACCCAAUAGUUAUCUAAGGUGUUUGCACCAAUUUAUAUUCCUAAUAUUUGAGAGUUCCACCCAUAUUUAUAUCCUGAGCAAAACUUAGUACUACAGUAUGUUUUGCUAAUUUUAUUUUCAUUUGCCUGUUAGAAACUUGAGUGUCCAAUUUUGCGAAGUGUCCAAUUUUGCAAAGUGACUGUUCAGCUCUUGCCGCUUUUAAAAAUAGGAUUAUUUGACUUUUUCUUGGGCACAUCAUUCGAACAGACACUUCCCAAAAGAAGUUUCACAGCUCCAACAAGCUCUUGAGAAUGGGGUCUUUUCUUUAAUCAACCUCAAAAACCAAAACAAAGAUAAGGUCUGUCUUUUAAAAAAUUAUUAUUUUUAAAUAUUGCACAAUCAUCUAUAGCGCUGAAAUAGCAUCAUUUGUCCAGCCACUCUCCCCUCAUGCUGGGCAUGCAGUUAUGCCCAUUGUUGGGACUUGCAUGUGGUUGGACCAGGGAGUCUUCUGGGAGUGGCUAUAAGGGAAGUGAGCUCCUGGGACAGCUGGAGGGCGUUGUUGUUUUCUCCUGUCCUUCCCUAAGAUGAAUCUGCAGGAGUUCAAGACUAUGAACACCUUUAGGAACUCUUGCUACUUUUGACAUAGUUUUCCAAAGACCAGCAAAAUGAUAGAUAUGCACAUGCUUUGAUUAUUAGUAAUACACGAUCCCCUUGAGCACUCUUGGUAGGAAUGUAAAGCGGUGCACCAUUAGGGAAGACAGUAGGGAGUUUCCUCAAAAAAAGAAAGAAGGAAAGAAAAUAGAGCUAUCAUAUGAUCCAGCAAUCCCAUUUCUGGGUGUUUACCCUUAAGAAUUGGAAUCAAGAUCUCCAGCACUCUUAUGUUCAUUGCAGCAUCAUGCACCAUAGCCCAGGUGUGGAAACAACCUAAAUGUCCAACAAGAACAUUGUCCAACAGCAUGAUGCUGUAAGGUCUCUCUUGAAUAGGUCUUUGCAUUGGCAUUGGCCUUGCUCUCUCUUUAGCAGCCUUGCUAUUUAAAUCCUUUUGGAGCUAGAGGUACAGCUGGAGAACAGGCGGGCCUGAGCAGGUCUCCACCCAAUUCUUAGAUUCUAGAGAAUUCUCACCUAGCCCUUCUCUGCUCUGCAAAGGUGAUGACAUCCUCUAAUGCAAUUGUGGUUUUCCUGGUACUUGGAACUGCUAUAAAUUACGAUGUAAAACUGCCAUUUUCAGGAGACAGGGUUCUACUUCCUUCCUCCUAUUUAUAGGGGCUUCUUUUCUUUUUCUUUUUUUCUUUUUAGGGCCCCACCUGUGGCAUAGGAAGUUCCUGGGCUAGGGGUUGAAUUGGAGCUGCAGCUGCCGGCACACACCAUGGCCAUAGCAGCGCCAGAUCCAAGCUGCAGCAACACUGGAUCCUUAACCCAAUGAGCGAGGCCAGGGAUCGAACCUGUGUCCUCAUGGAUACUAGCCAAGUUCUUAACCCACUGAGCCACAGCAGGAACGCCUAUUGGGGUUUCUUUAAUAAUUAGGCAGAAGAAAUAUUAUUCUGACAGUGGCAUUCCUUUGCUUGAAAGAAACACUUGGGCUAGUGGUUAGUAUAGAAGGAGGGGUGGUGUGUGGUCAAGAUCUGAAAAUCAAAGAAGGUUCACAUGAGGCCAAGGGAAGAGUUGCUUGGCUCUGAAGAGCAGGCAAGGGGAUCAGAAGAGAGAGGAGGGCUCCUGAGCUCUUUGGAGUUUUUCAAUAGCCCUUUAAGGGCGUGAUACCCACUGGUGCAUUCAGCAGUGCUCAUGAUUGUUCAUCUAUAUUUGGCGCCACUUCCUGUGGGAGGAUUAAAUAUCCCUGCACUCUCAGAACUCAGGCUUGGCCAUGGGACUUGCAUUGGUCAAUAAACUGUGAGUGAAAUUGAUGUGCGUCAUCUUCCAAGCAAAAGCUUUGAGUCAGUGAGCUGUUCCCUCUUCCGGGAAGCCUGGCUGUGUUCCAGACGGCAGAUGCUCUGUCAGCCUCCGUCCACAAAGAGAAGAUGGGAACAGAGCCCCCGCCCGCUGUGAUGAACAGGUAGGGUGAAGAGAUAGUACAACUUUAUUAUUGAAAGCCAUCAAGAGUUGGGGGUCAUUUGCUAAUUUAGUCUUACCUGAUUGAUUCAGCUCUGUUCUAUUUUAUACAUUCUCUUUGAUUCUCUAUGCCUCCAACCAAGCACAUCUCUAGCAAAGUCUGCUCUGCUUGCCAGUAUUUUGUAUGAGUGAUUUGGGUUGGUGAACCGAGGCAGACAUCGCACUUUGGACCUGGGCUGAUGCAUUGCUGAGAUGACACAGGCUGAGCCAGAAGGAAAAGGAUCAUUUAGAGCAUGCUAACAGCCCUGGGAUGCACAGACAUGUUGCUUCCUGCCGCCAUCCUUCAGGCCGAUGUUUUGGGCAGAAGGCCAAGGCCAAGUUCACGUCACAACAUUGAAGGUCACAGUGCUUGCUUUGCUGAUGCGAUGGCCUCAUUCACAAAUUCCUCCCAGGGGCUGGAGAGGUGAAUAGUGGGGGAAGACCUUGCCCUCCCACUGCUGGGGAGGGGGCCAGCCUGCUCCCAGUAGAGGUUUUAGCAUAAAUGAUGGAAAUAAAAAAGCU
RNAcentral lists this long non-coding RNA (4449 nucleotides) under Sus scrofa (pig). RNAcentral describes it as "lncRNA (ENSSSCG00060052367.1)". The record is from RNAcentral. Lineage: Eukaryota; Metazoa; Chordata; Mammalia; Artiodactyla; Suidae.